This 1053-nucleotide ribosomal RNA is filed under the name Triticum aestivum (bread wheat). RNAcentral's name for it is "partial small subunit ribosomal RNA". Lineage: Eukaryota; Viridiplantae; Streptophyta; Magnoliopsida; Poales; Poaceae. The record is from RNAcentral.
AUGCCGUGGCAGACCGCUUCGGCCAUCGUUGCCCGCCCAUUGCCCGUCUGCGGCUCGCACGUCCUCAAGAUCGACGGCUACUCCCGCACCAAGGGCCUCGUCAACGGCAAAGGUGUCUCGUCCGAGAAGUUCGUCGUUGGGCGCCAUCGUUGGUACAUGAGGUACUUCCCUGACGGUUCCUCGGCAGGCCAAGCUGGUUGGAUAUCUAUCUACCUCUGUCUUGUGCACACUGAUAGUGUCGAUGAUCAAGUCCACGCCCGGUGCAAGAUCAGUUUGCUCGACCAGGACGGGGAGCCGGUGCCGUCGCGCGUCACGGACAGCCAAACAUGCCACACCUUCUCCAGCAACACAGGGCCAUGGGGCUGUCCUCAGCUCAUCACCAGGAAGGACUUGGAGGAGUCACUUUACCUCAAGGAUGAUGUUUUCAGUGUCAAGUGCGAGAUCACUGUGCCUAGGGAGAUCUUCACGGAGCCCAUCUCACUGCUGGUCAGCGCGCCACCGUCUGACAUGCACCGCCACUUUGGCCGGCUCCUCUCCAGCGGCGACGGGGCAGACGUCACGUUCGAGGUUGGAGGCGAGACGUUUGCGGCCCACAGGUGUGUGCUCGCCGCCCGGUCGUCGGUGUUCAUGGCGGAGCUGUUUGGGCCGAUGAAGGAGGAGGCUAAAGUGUUCAAGGCCAUGCUCCACUUCAUCUUCACAGACUCUCUGCCGCCCAUGGACGAUGAGCAGGAGGUGGUGGUCAUGGCCCAGCAUUUGCUUGUUGCGGCUGACACGUAUAACCUCGAGAGGCUCAAGUUGCUCUGCGUGGAGAAGCUCUGCAAUCACAUGGACGCAAGCCCCGCGGCGACUACGCUGGCAUUGGCGGAGCAGCACUCCUGUUGCGGGCUCAAGGACUUGUGCUUCAAGUUCCUUGCGUCCCCUGGAAAUAUCCUCAAGGCCGUUGUGGCGAACGACGGCUUCGAGCAUGUGAGGACCAGCUGCCCGUCUGUGCUAAGGAGCUCGUUGCCAAAAUUUCACCUUGAUUUGAGACAGGCACCGCCCUCUUUAGCUUGA